AAGGCUUUAAGUUAAUAUAAACUAAUAGCCUUCAAAGCUAUAAAUAUAAGAGAAUCUUUUAAGCCUUA
This 68-nucleotide transfer RNA is filed under the name Leptogaster cylindrica. RNAcentral describes it as "tRNA-Trp". It matches the Rfam family "tRNA". Rfam says of the family: Transfer RNA (tRNA) molecules are approximately 80 nucleotides in length. The record is from RNAcentral. Lineage: Eukaryota; Metazoa; Arthropoda; Insecta; Diptera; Asilidae.